RNAcentral lists this unclassified non-coding RNA (200 nucleotides) under Hevea brasiliensis (rubber tree). Lineage: Eukaryota; Viridiplantae; Streptophyta; Magnoliopsida; Malpighiales; Euphorbiaceae. The record is from RNAcentral.
GAAAAAACUUCCGAAACGAAGGGGACUAAACAGGAACAAGAGGGAUCCACCGAAGAAGAUCCUUCUUCUUCCCUUUUUUCGGAAGAAAAGGAGGAUCCGGACAAUCGACGAAACGGAAGAGAUCCAAGUGAAUGGAAAGGAAAAAACAAAGGAUGAAUUCCAUUUUCACUUUAAAGAGACAUGCUAUAAAAAUAGACCAC